RNAcentral lists this ribosomal RNA (460 nucleotides) under uncultured bacterium. Its description in RNAcentral is "bacterial SSU rRNA". It matches the Rfam family "Bacterial small subunit ribosomal RNA", at positions 1 to 507 of the family's 1533-position model. The record is from RNAcentral.
UCACUGACGAGUUUGAUCAUGGCUCAGAACGAACGCUGGCGGCAGGCCUAACACAUGCAAGUCGAGCGAGGUAGCAAUACCUAGCGGCGGACGGGUGAGUAACGCGUGGGAACGUACCCUUUGCUACGGAAUAGCCCCGGGAAACUGGGAGUAAUACCGUAUGUGCCCUUCGGGGGAAAGAUUUAUCGGCAAAGGAUCGGCCCGCGUUGGAUUAGGUAGUUGGUGGGGUAAUGGCCUACCAAGCCGACGAUCCAUAGCUGGUUUGAGAGGAUGAUCAGCCACACUGGGACUGAGACACGGCCCAGACUCCUACGGGAGGCAGCAGUGGGGAAUCUUAGACAAUGGGCGCAAGCCUGAUCUAGCCAUGCCGCGUGAGUGAUGAAGGCCUUAGGGUUGUAAAGCUCUUUCAGAUGGGAAGAUAAUGACGGUACCAUCAGAAGAAGCCCCGGCUAACUCCGUG